Molecule: unclassified non-coding RNA, 1613 nt
Filed under: Hevea brasiliensis (rubber tree)
Lineage: Eukaryota; Viridiplantae; Streptophyta; Magnoliopsida; Malpighiales; Euphorbiaceae
Source: RNAcentral
GUUUUUAGACAGAGAGGGCCAGCUUCCUAAAAGUAAUCUACAUUUUGCCUCCAGGGCACAACAGAUGCCUUCAGAAAGAGAGUUGAGACUAUUGGUGAUAUUCUUUUACAUGCAUAUCAUUCCGAUAACAACCUAAUGAUCAAAAGUCUACCCAUAACGUCUUAUAAGGGAACGCUGGUAUGACAUGGAAGAAGUCCCUUCCAGUAUUGCAGCUUCUGAUGAAGCAUAUUGCUGCAGAACAGGAGGACCAUAAGGAGCUGACGGGCCAGAGAAGUAGUUGUGUGUAGCACUACUCUCGUGAGGUGGCAGCAUUCCUCGCUCUACUCCUGAGUACAAUUGGUAAUUCCUGUCAUUUAGCUCCAUGAGAUGUGGCUGCGACACAACCCCACUUCGCAUUGAUUCAUACCUGUGAUAUGGAUUCCAUAUAUCAGUUGAAAUGCCUUGAGUGACAUAUGAUUGAUGAGAAUAUGCAUUACUGGGAGCAGUCAACUGUUUAGGUUCUCCAACUGUAAGAGCACUCUCCAUGAAGCUCGUGGUUCUAGGCCAUCCACGCUGAGCACUUUGAAGUUCAUAGACUCGUUGAGAUUCCACAAUUGGUGGAGGAUGAACGUGCUGCAUUCUGGUCAUAUAUGGAUUCUCCACAGAAGUGGGCAUCGAGGAAUACUUAGAAUGAUGUUCCAUAUACAAAGCAGGAAUUGUGUUUGGUGGUGGAAGAUUGGCCAAUGAUGAACCCACUUUUGCCUGGGGACAGGACAGCAACUUAACCCGAUCUUCCAUAGCCCAAGCGGGUGUAAUCUUUGGCAUGUCAACAUUAGCAAAAGACUGGCCCACUUUUUCCAGUGGAUGGGCCACCACUGUUGCUGUUACUGACGCAGGUAGGGGACGAAAUAUAGACAAUAAACUCCUCACUUGAUGAUCAUUUAAUUCGGGUUCAAACUUUCUGUCACGAUAAUUGUCCUUUAUAGCGUGUCUGAAAGAGGGUUCUGGCAGGGGAAGACAUUCCUUAAAAAUUCGAAAUUUCACCUGUGCUGGAAAUUUGCCUCCAAAAGCAAGUGGCUCCAAGUUCAUUAUUCCAGUGGAUGUUGCCUCAUAUACACCAUACAGAAGUUUUGCUUCGAAAUCAAACAGGAAAAGCUUUGCCCCUGGCUUAAUAUUUUUUAUUAUUUCUUGUUUGUUCAAAGGAAGCCCAAACACACGGAAUCUGUAACAAUCAUGUUUUGUAUUUCUACCACACAUGAAUAUAAAACCAGAAAUAUCAUCCUGUCGGUCAGAUUCAUCUUGGGUGUCCUCAGAUGGAUCAAUGUCUACAGCUUCACCAGUAUUUUGCUCAUUGACAAAAGCAGUAGACAAACGAGGCUGGUGCUUGGGUUCAUCCUGAUGUUCCUUAGCAAAAGCAGGAUUAGUAUUUAGUGGGCAAACAUUGGCCAUUGAUGAACCCACUUCCUGAGGAUACGACAGCGACUUAACCUGAUCUUUCACAGCCAAGGCAGGCAUAAUCUUUGGCAAGCCAACAUUAGCCAAACAUGGUGCCAAUGGAUGGGACACAACUGCUGCUGUUGCUGAUGCAGUCAGGGGACAAAAUAAGGAUAAUAGACUCCUCACUUGAUAAUCAU